UGAAUGGGGCAACCCAGCAUGUUGAAGACAUGUUACACCGUAAGGUGAGCAAACCCGGAGAACUGAAACAUCUAAGUACCCGGAGGAGAAGAAAACAAUAGUGAUUCCGUAAGUAGCGGCGAGCGAACGCGGAGUAGCCCAACCCAGUCUUGUUACGGCAAGGCUGGGGUUGUAGGACCACGUUAUUGGUUGUGUAAUGAAUUAGAAUCCGUUGGAAAUCGGACCCAUAGAGGGUGAUAGUGCCCGUAUAAGUAAAGAACAUUACCCAUAGUGGUAUGCCUGAGUAGUGCGGGACGGGAGUAAUCCUGUAGGAAUUCCCCG
This 321-nucleotide ribosomal RNA is filed under the name uncultured bacterium. Its description in RNAcentral is "bacterial LSU rRNA". It matches the Rfam family "Bacterial large subunit ribosomal RNA", at positions 115 to 449 of the family's 2925-position model. The record is from RNAcentral.